UAUGAGGCUUGAGCAUUAGGGUGUUGUGGUUGAUCAAUCUCUCCAAUAGCUGAGAGGCUGCUAUUGACUUUCUGUUCCCAGAGUCCAGAGGUGUAGUACUGCUCUGCGGUUGCAUUUCCUGUUUAACUGUUCACCACAGUUGCCGUGUCAUCUUCAGUCUUGGGGUCACUUGAUUCACCAUCUGAUUCUGUACCUCCAUUUUUCAACAGUCCUUCAUUAAACUGAGAGACUUUAUUCUUUAUCAAUUGUUCCAAAGGUUCUUUGCAUAUACUACAGCAGCCAUCACUUGAUAAACAGGACACAUGGAAUGUGUGGUAACAGGCAAGGCAAACAAAGUUACCACCAUAAUGAUUGUUGUUGCAGUCAGGAACACCCUAUCAGGCAAUACUCUGUUGUCAUCUUAUGUUAUUGACCUCAGUAGAAGAUCGAAAAGCCCAGAAGCAUUCUUCUCACUAAAGUCCCUCAUCACAGCUGGGUCAUAGAGUGGUACUUCUGGUCUGCUUUCAUAGUAUUUGAACAUAGCAGUCUGGCACUGAGUGACCAACUGGUCAAAGUGUUUUGUCAAGUUGACUGGCCAUGCUUUGUGAAGCACUCUCCUAAGAAAAUUCAUACCAAAACAUCACCAUGUCAUUUAUUAUGACAACUUUUAUAAUUAGAAAUUGAUUCUUAUAAUAAAUUAUUAUUUUAUGUUCAUGCACCUGUUUGCCAUCAGAUGAUUGAGUACUGGUUGGAGAAGAUGUAGAUGCUUGAGUGUUUCUCUGAAAAGUAAGGAGCAGAUACAUGAUAAAAUAUUUUGGUAUAGUUCUGGAACAAUUUUUUGUGAUAACAAAGUAGCAAUUAUGCAGUCUGGGUUUUUGGUGGGCCAAAUUGGCAA
Molecule: long non-coding RNA, 874 nt
Organism: Stylophora pistillata
Lineage: Eukaryota; Metazoa; Cnidaria; Anthozoa; Scleractinia; Pocilloporidae
Source: RefSeq, a predicted model, not a curated record